Coffea eugenioides is the source of this 438-nucleotide long non-coding RNA. RefSeq lists it as uncharacterized. Lineage: Eukaryota; Viridiplantae; Streptophyta; Magnoliopsida; Gentianales; Rubiaceae. The transcript is spliced from 3 exons. The record is from RefSeq and is a predicted model, not a curated record.
UGUUAAUGUUAUCCUGAUGAGUGACGAGAAGCCAUUGGGAAGUCUGCAUCUAUAUUAUGUACUCCUAACAUCUAGCAGCGGACAAGGUGAGGAAGGUGGAUAUGCUUGAAGAAGUCACUGUUAUCUGGUCUGAGAAGGUUAAGGACGAAUUGGUGUUGGAUGGCAAUGACAUUGAGCUUGUUUCCGGAUCUGCUGCCCUGAUAAACCAAAAAUGCCAUGUGAAGAACAAAGAUAUCCGGAAGUUCCUUGAUGGUAUCUAUGUCAGUGAGAAGGGGCAAAUAGCCGAGGAGGAGUGAGAGUUAGUGGCCUACAUUUCUUGAUCGUUUUCUUGGAUUGAUUCCCUUUUAUCAUAUCAAGAUGCUUGUGGGGAUUUCUUAGAGAUGACUUCUAUUUUGAACUUAAAAUAGAAGUCAUGUUUUUUGGAGUAUAUAUGCUUGC